RNAcentral lists this ribosomal RNA (497 nucleotides) under uncultured bacterium. Its description in RNAcentral is "partial 16S ribosomal RNA". It matches the Rfam family "Bacterial small subunit ribosomal RNA", at positions 28 to 507 of the family's 1533-position model. The record is from RNAcentral.
GAUGAACGCUGGCGGCGUGCCUAAUACAUGCAAGUCGAGCGAACGGACGAGAAGCUUGCUUUUCUGAUGUUAGCGGCGGACGGGUGAGUAACACGUGGAUAACCUACCUAUAAGACUGGGAUAACUUCGGGAAACCGGAGCUAAUACCGGAUAAUAUUUUGAACCGCAUGGUUCAAAAGUGAAAGACGGUCUUGCUGUCACUUAUAGAUGGAUCCGCGCUGCAUUAGCUAGUUGGUAAGGUAACGGCUUACCAAGGCAACGAUGCAUAGCCGACCUGAGAGGGUGAUCGGCCACACUGGAACUGGGACACGGUCCAGACUCCUACGGGAGGCAGCUGUAGGGAAUCUUCCGCAAUGGGCGAAAGCCUGACGGAGCAACGCCGCGUGAGUGAUGAAGGUCUUCGGAUCGUAAAACUCUGUUAUUAGGGAAGAACAUAUGUGUAAGUAACUGUGCACAUCUUGACGGUACCUAAUCAGAAAGCCACGGCUAACUACGUG